RNAcentral lists this ribosomal RNA (660 nucleotides) under Staphylococcus aureus. Its description in RNAcentral is "partial 23S ribosomal RNA". It matches the Rfam family "Bacterial large subunit ribosomal RNA", at positions 822 to 1484 of the family's 2925-position model. The record is from RNAcentral. Lineage: Bacteria; Bacillati; Bacillota; Bacilli; Caryophanales; Staphylococcaceae.
AGAAAUUCCAAUCGAACCUGGAGAUAGCUGGUUCUCUCCGAAAUAGCUUUAGGGCUAGCCUCAAGUGAUGAUUAUUGGAGGUAGAGCACUGUUUGGACGAGGGGCCCCUCUCGGGUUACCGAAUUCAGACAAACUCCGAAUGCCAAUUAAUUUAACUUGGGAGUCAGAACAUGGGUGAUAAGGUCCGUGUUCGAAAGGGAAACAGCCCAGACCACCAGCUAAGGUCCCAAAAUAUAUGUUAAGUGGAAAAGGAUGUGGCGUUGCCCAGACAACUAGGAUGUUGGCUUAGAAGCAGCCAUCAUUUAAAGAGUGCGUAAUAGCUCACUAGUCGAGUGACACUGCGCCGAAAAUGUACCGGGGCUAAACAUAUUACCGAAGCUGUGGAUUGUCCUUUGGACAAUGGUAGGAGAGCGUUCUAAGGGCGUUGAAGCAUGAUCGUAAGGACAUGUGGAGCGCUUAGAAGUGAGAAUGCCGGUGUGAGUAGCGAAAGACGGGUGAGAAUCCCGUCCACCGAUUGACUAAGGUUUCCAGAGGAAGGCUCGUCCGCUCUGGGUUAGUCGGGUCCUAAGCUGAGGCCGACAGGCGUAGGCGAUGGAUAACAGGUUGAUAUUCCUGUACCACCUAUAAUCGUUUUAAUCGAUGGGGGGACGCAGUAGGAUA